RNAcentral lists this long non-coding RNA (2265 nucleotides) under Gossypium barbadense (sea-island cotton). RNAcentral describes it as "long non-coding RNA (GBAR_LNC001085)". The record is from RNAcentral. Lineage: Eukaryota; Viridiplantae; Streptophyta; Magnoliopsida; Malvales; Malvaceae.
AAAAAGAAAAAGCUAUCAUUUUUCUCUUCCCCUUCACAAAAAUAUGCAGCACAGAAAGGGUUUUGAAGUUGGAAAAUUUCAGCAACAUAUUUCCCUUGCUUGUAAGUGAUUUUAAUGUCUUUGCUUGAUGAUUUUUGUAUUUUUGGAACCCCUAAAGCAUAAGCUUUCAUAAGAGGGGAUUAUUUUGCAAAAUGAUGAAGAGUCUAGGGUUUUACCAUGAGAGUAAAUGUGUUGUUUGCUGUGUUUUUAUGGAAGAUUAUGAGUUCUAGUUGUCUAAUAAACAACUUUUGUGAAAGAAAUUGCAUGAAAAUACCUUAAAAAGGGGUAAAUUGCUAAGUUGUAAAAUGAGUUGUAAAUGUGUAAAAUAGUUGAAAUUAUGAGUUGUUAUAGUUAUGAAAAUGGUUCAUCUAGACUCAAGGAGUAAAGAAAUGUGAUAAAAAUUAAUUUACGAGCAUUGGGGCAAAAGUGCAAAUAUGUAAAAGUUUAGGGGUCAAAAUAAAAAUUUGUAAAAAUAUGAUUUUUAGACCCAUAUGAAUAUUGUGACUGAUUGGUAGGCUAAAUGUGAUGUUAUAGAUGAUGAAAAUUGAGAUUUGGACCUAGAACGGAAAGAAAUCGAUUUAUGGACGAGUAUGUCUUUUCACCGUUGUGGUAUCGAGGUAAGUUCAUGUGUAAAUAAUGUAGCAUAAUUGUUAUUUUUAAGUUAUUGAUGUUAAAUAUAUGAUAUGCUGAUUUUUAUCAUGAAAUAUAUGCUUUGUGGUUAUUUUCGAAUAAAAUGCAAGUUAUGUGUAUUAUCUGUUAAAUAUAAAGUGCUACCGAGUAUUGGUUUCGGUAUUUUACGGAAGAUGGCAAGGAUAUGUGUUCGAGGAAAAUCCCGUUUGAACCUUAGGAAUAGAUUAGGAUACAAGUGACAUGUCACUAGGAUGGUUGAGCAUCCAAACUCGUUGAGUUGAGUCCGAGUUCACUUAUGGAUGCGAAUGUUCGAACUCGUUGAGUUGAGUCUGAGUUCGUGAGAUGUAACUAGGCAUCCGAGCUCGUUGAGUUGAGUCCGAGUUCACUUAUGGAUGCGAACGCCCGAGCUCGUUGAGUUGAGUCCGAGUUCACUUAUGGGCGGGUUACAUGGUAGCUUGGCUACAUAUGUGGCACUUAUGUGCAAACUUUUCAUGUAUCCGAAUUAUAUUCCGAUGUGUUCAAUGGGUAAAAUUCUACUCAAAUGGAAGAAUACUCGAGAUGAAAGGGACGUAUUGGUAAAUGUUGUGAAAUGGAUACUUUGAACAGGUAUGUACUUAACCCUCGUGUUGAAAACUCGACAUAACAACAAUAUGGUAAGAUGGUAAAUGAAAAUGUGAUAUGAAUGUCUCGGUGAUGAUUAUACAAACGAUGUUGUAUUAAUUUUGUGAACAAUGAUCAUGAAUGAGUAAUUUAGCCUUGACAGAUUUGAGUUACUGCAGUAGUGUAACUUUGAAAAUACACUAAAAAUAGUGGAAAAUAAGUUAGAGGCAGAAUAAAAUAUGGGAUUAAAGCUCAACGAGUCUAUUUUCACAUGAAAGAAACAGAGAAGAAAAAGAAUUCCAUAUUGUGUGAUAUUUGAAUUCUUGUGAAACAGGGUCUGAAUGAAUUCGAGAUCCCCUAUUCUAACUUUAUAAAUUCACCAAAAAUUUUACAAAAAUUUUUAAGAGUUAUACCUUACAUGCAUAUAUUCAUUAUUGAGUCUAUUUUUAUGGAAAAUAAACGGCAUGGUCGUUGGAAUUUUGUACAGGGAGAAAUUCGGUUUGUAGUGCACAGGGGUCAGAGUGGUCAUACCCUGAAAUAGGGGAGACUUUAACUAAUAAACUGUACUAUUUGGCUUAACCAAAAAUUCUGGAAAUUUUAUGGAAGAAAUUAAAAUAAGUCUAUUUUUAGGGAAAAUUAACGGAACUUAAUUCGGAGUUUAGUAGCUCCAGAUAUAAAUAAUUUAGUGACUGUUGCUCAGGAAGACAACUUGUAGUGAACUUGAGAAUAUGUUGUAAACAUUGAUAAAACAAGUUAAUGAGUUGCUUAUUGUUUUCAUAUGAACUUACUAAGCGAAAGCUUACCCCCCUUCUUUCCCAUGGUUUUUAGAGUUUCCAGGUUAGCUCGGGUUGGAGGCCGUCAGAGAUAUUAUCACCCUAUCGAGUUAACGUUAUCGGAGUAAGUAAAAUCAAGUGAUUCGAGUCUAUGGCAUGUAUAGGGUUUUAAUGUGAGUAUGUAAUAUUAUGAUCUAGCCAAAGGCAUUGGCUUGUUAUUAAG